This is a long non-coding RNA of Paramisgurnus dabryanus, 513 nucleotides long. RefSeq lists it as uncharacterized. NCBI's taxonomy places the organism in Eukaryota, Metazoa, Chordata, Actinopteri, Cypriniformes, Cobitidae. The record is from RefSeq and is a predicted model, not a curated record.
AUCAGUGGAUGCCUUUGCCGUCCGUAGCCUGAGAUUUCAGAUUUGCAGCAAAAAAUUUGAUUUUCUCAUUUAUUGGAAUGCUGUGCAGGUUGUACCUUGCAGCCAUCCAUUACAAUGUCACCAAGGUGUAACAAAAGCAGGAGAGGGAAAGUACAAGGCUAUGUUCCCAAAACACACAAGUGACAUACCUUAUGUGGAUGAUGUGAUCAGGCUUGUGUUUGAUGAGGUAUUUGAAGAUAAGCUGAAGGAAACCCCGAUUCCAAUGGACCUGGCAUCACAGUUUGAGACACCUUUAAAGAAGGACGUGAUUGCAUGCCAUCUUCAGUGCAGGGGUCGUUGAAAGCCAACAUUGUGACCGAUCUGAUCAGGAAGCUCCAAGCAUAUCUGGAGAACAACACACGACAGGAUGAUAACCUUAUAGUGUCGUCUUAAAUAGCACCAGCUGACAAAGCUUUGAUAUGCCAUUUAUCGGAAUAGAUAGCUGUAAGAAAUGAAUUGAACAAUUUUUGAAAG